Molecule: non-coding RNA, 1052 nt
Organism: Paramuricea clavata
Lineage: Eukaryota; Metazoa; Cnidaria; Anthozoa; Malacalcyonacea; Plexauridae
Source: the annotation of a GenBank genome assembly
GUUUGUUUUAUUUUGAAGCAAUCUGUGACCGUUACUUGACGACUGCUUUAAGCUGAUUGGUUGAUCACUUGAUUUUAAAUCGCAUUGUUUUUUCCACCAUGUUUGUUACAGAUUUUUGCACUGCUGUUUGAUAUUUAUAAACUGCACUAAAAUCAACCAAUCACAGUCGAGUAAUAUUUUUAUGUGUAUUAUUAGGUAGAGAAACAGCACACCGCUGGUGAAAUAUUUGUCCUUGCAAAACUAUUCAAAUUUAAUUGGGUUUUUUACUCCUAGUAUAAAGUAUAAAACAAAUCAAAGGCCGUUGAGGGCGACAAACGGAUGAGAUCAAAUGAAAGUGACAGAAAGAAUUAGAGCAGUUUGCAGUUGUUUUUGCAAACGGGACCGUGCGAAUUUUGGCAUUUGUCGUACUCCUUUCGCCAAAUCAAAAGAACGAACGCGUGCCCCAGCCCGAUUCGCAGGCAAACAGUGCGCGCAAAUGGUCUUGGUCAUUUCCCAUUGUUUAACUGCCCCACACUCAAGUAUAACCACAAAGACUCGUAUCCGUGAGUCAAAAAUGAAAACAUCCCGAAAACAAUUUUGUAAAAAUGCUGAUGAUUCUGGAAUGACUAAUGGCUGGAGAUAUAACCAUUCAAAUACAUUUACGUGUUUCUAGUGCAUAUUUUGCUUGGGUUUUCAAGAUAUUUACAUGAUUUCAGCCGAGCUGGGUACAAUGGUACAUUCCAUGUAAGCUCCAGGCCAUGUCAAAUUUUGUGUGUGUGUUUUUUUACAUACGCUGUAAAUAUACACAUGUCAAUGAACUUAGGCACAAAUUAAGAAACCUCUUAAUCCAGAACAUAAGUUGAACAGUCUUAUCCAUGACGGACGUGAAGAUUUACGUUCUUAACGCCUGCACAAAGAACUAGAUUACGUAAUAUUUUUAUCCCUUCAAGUAUAUUGUAGCAUAUAACGAUUCUUUGUAAACACAAUUUCUUAAUAUUAUACUGUAUAUUAGCUUUUACCAUGUAUUUUAAAUGUAAACUCUGUACAAUUCAGCUGUUAGUUCAUUAAUUGCC